CAGUAGCCACGGGAAUACAGAGGAUGCAAGCGUUAUCCGGAUUCAUUGGGCGUAAAGCGCUCGUAGGCGGUCUGUUAGGUCGGGAGUUAAAUCCGGGGGCUCAACCCCCACUCGCUCUCGAUACCGGCAGACUUGAGUUUGGUAGGGGAAGGUGGAAUUCCUAGUGUAGCGGUGGAAUGCGCAGAUAUUAGGAAGAACACCAGUGGCGAAGGCGGCCUUCUGGGCCAUAACUGACGCUGAGGAGCGAAAGCUAGGGGAGCAAACAGGAUUAGAUACCCGUGUAGUCCCUGUCUCUUAUACC
This 301-nucleotide ribosomal RNA is filed under the name uncultured bacterium. RNAcentral's name for it is "partial 16S ribosomal RNA". It matches the Rfam family "Bacterial small subunit ribosomal RNA", at positions 509 to 808 of the family's 1533-position model. The record is from RNAcentral.